GACCUCCUGGGAUCGCAUCUGGAGAGCCCCUAGUGUUCUGCCAGCUUCGGAAGCAGGAGGAAAAGCAAGCCUAGCAGAGGUACCCAUUCCAUUCCCAGCUUGUUCUGUAGCUGGUGAUUGGAAGACACUCUGCAACAAGU
Otolemur garnettii (small-eared galago) is the source of this 140-nucleotide small nucleolar RNA. The record is from Ensembl. NCBI's taxonomy places the organism in Eukaryota, Metazoa, Chordata, Mammalia, Primates, Galagidae.